GCUGCCGAGCGCCCUUCACGCCUAAGCCGCCCCCCUGAGACGCGGGCAGGGCGCUGCCGGCCCCGCUUUGUGCCGGCGGACCCGGGAGGGCCAGGGCGCAGCCCACCAACAACCGCUGGGACACGGCCCGGCGGGACGCCAGCGGCACCUGCGGGAGCAGGCGGAAUCCCCGCCUCCCGGACACGCUUUAACGGCCGCCCGCCGCAGCGCCCGCCCUGCGCGGCCCUGACAGGAACCGGGGGCGGCUUCCCACCGGCCAGGUGCCGCCCGAAGCCCCUCACAGGCCUCCGAGGGAUCUCCGGAGAGCGGUGCCCGGGGCCAGACCGGGCCCGGCUGCACCUCCCCGGGAGCCGAGCGAAGCCCGGAGCCCGGCCCGCGGGGUCAGGACCAACGCCGGGGCCGGCCGCGGCUCCCUGCCCUCACCUCAGCUCCCCUCAGCCGCCACCGCCCCCCGCCAUCGGCCACCCGCCGCCGCCGCCGCCCCCGAGCACUUCCGGGCCGCGGCCGGAAGUGGGCGCUGGAAAACCAGGGCGCGCGGGGCGGGGGCGGGCUUCCCUCGAUGCCCCGCCCCUUCCCGAUGCCCNNNNNNNNNNNNNNNNNNNNNCUUGGCCCCGCCCCCUCCUCUCUCGACCCCGCCCCCGCGGGGUGAGCGCCCUUAAAGGGCCAGCAGCGCUGGGGGCGCUCCGGGAGGGCACAGCUCGGCCUCGCGUCCCGCUCGCCCCCAGCGCCCGGGCACGUCGCACAUCGCUGCUCCUCGCGGCGUACAAACCCAAGUUCCUCAGAGCUCGGCCCCCAGCCCCGGGGAGGGCCAGGGAAGGUGUUGGCCCCAGGGCCAGGGGCUCCCAGGAGCCGAACGGGGCGCAGGGGCUUUUCUCUUCAGCCUCCCCGCGCCACUUCUUUAGGUCUUCGCAGAAAAGGGUUGGGGAAAGAAGGCACGGCCCCCUUCGGUCUUCAGCUGCUGCCACGGUGAUGCUUCUCAACCCCGAAGUGCAGCUGUGCUGCAGCCACAAGGCCGGUGACCCAACUGUCUCUAUCACCCCCAGCAUCAAGGGUUGUUUUUUACCCUACUCAGACCAUUAA
RNAcentral lists this long non-coding RNA (1080 nucleotides) under Anser cygnoides (Swan goose). RNAcentral's name for it is "lncRNA (ENSACDG00005019275.1)". The record is from RNAcentral. Lineage: Eukaryota; Metazoa; Chordata; Aves; Anseriformes; Anatidae.